GCUUAGGUAUUUUAAUAUAAAAUGUUGUUUUGUGGAAUCAAUGAUAUGGAUUAUCCAUCUUAGGCCG
RNAcentral lists this transfer RNA (67 nucleotides) under Oxya japonica. RNAcentral describes it as "tRNA-His". The record is from RNAcentral. Lineage: Eukaryota; Metazoa; Arthropoda; Insecta; Orthoptera; Acrididae.